GACGAACCGUGCGAACGUUGUUCGGAAUCACUGGGCUUAAAGGGCGCGUAGGCGGGCAUUCAAGUCGGUGGUGAAAUCCUCCAGCUUAACUGGAGAAGAGCUGUCGAUACUGGAUGUCUCGAGGGGUGCAGGGGUCUGCGGAACUUCGGGUGGAGCGGUGAAAUGCGUAGAUAUCAAGAGGAACACCUGCGGCGAAGGCGGGUUGCUGGGCCGACACUGACGCUGAGGCGCGAAAGCCAGGGGAGCGAACGGG
RNAcentral lists this ribosomal RNA (253 nucleotides) under uncultured bacterium. RNAcentral describes it as "partial 16S ribosomal RNA". It matches the Rfam family "Bacterial small subunit ribosomal RNA", at positions 524 to 776 of the family's 1533-position model. The record is from RNAcentral.